RNAcentral lists this non-coding RNA (1392 nucleotides) under Streptomyces caelestis. RNAcentral describes it as "Bacterial large subunit ribosomal RNA". It matches the Rfam family "Bacterial large subunit ribosomal RNA", at positions 1556 to 2925 of the family's 2925-position model. Lineage: Bacteria; Bacillati; Actinomycetota; Actinomycetes; Kitasatosporales; Streptomycetaceae. RNAcentral also lists the same sequence under 1 other name. The record is from Rfam by way of RNAcentral.
CUGAGACCUGAUGCCGAGCCGAUUGUGGUGAAGUGGAUGAUCCUAUGCUGUCGAGAAAAGCCUCUAGCGAGUUUCAUGGCGGCCCGUACCCUAAACCGACUCAGGUGGUCAGGUAGAGAAUACCGAGGCGUUCGGGUGAACUAUGGUUAAGGAACUCGGCAAAAUGCCCCCGUAACUUCGGGAGAAGGGGGGCCAUGUCCGGUGAUGAGCUUCGCGCUCUGAGCUGGGGGUGGCCGCAGAGACCAGCGAGAAGCGACUGUUUACUAAAAACACAGGUCCGUGCGAAGCCGUAAGGCGAUGUAUACGGACUGACGCCUGCCCGGUGCUGGAACGUUAAGGGGACCGGUUAGUCACUCUUCGGGGUGGCGAAGCUGAGAACUUAAGCGCCAGUAAACGGCGGUGGUAACUAUAACCAUCCUAAGGUAGCGAAAUUCCUUGUCGGGUAAGUUCCGACCUGCACGAAUGGCGUAACGACUUCUCGACUGUCUCAACCAUAGGCCCGGUGAAAUUGCACUACGAGUAAAGAUGCUCGUUUCGCGCAGCAGGACGGAAAGACCCCGGGACCUUUACUACAGUUUGAUAUUGGUGUUCGGUUCGGCUUGUGUAGGAUAGCUGGGAGACUGUGAAAGCCAUACGCCAGUAUGGUGGGAGUCGUCGUUGAAAUACCAGUCUGGUCGUGCUGGAUGUCUAACCUGGGUCCGUGAUCCGGAUCAGGGACAGUGUCUGAUGGGUAGUUUAACUGGGGCGGUUGCCUCCUAAAGAGUAACGGAGGCGCCCAAAGGUUCCCUCAGCCUGGUUGGCAAUCAGGUGUUGAGUGUAAGUGCACAAGGGAGCUUGACUGUGAGACCGACGGGUCGAGCAGGGACGAAAGUCGGGACUAGUGAUCCGGCGGUGGCUUGUGGAAGCGCCGUCGCUCAACGGAUAAAAGGUACCCCGGGGAUAACAGGCUGAUCUUCCCCAAGAGUCCAUAUCGACGGGAUGGUUUGGCACCUCGAUGUCGGCUCGUCGCAUCCUGGGGCUGGAGUCGGUCCCAAGGGUUGGGCUGUUCGCCCAUUAAAGCGGUACGCGAGCUGGGUUUAGAACGUCGUGAGACAGUUCGGUCCCUAUCCGCUGUGCGCGUAGGAGUCUUGAGAAGGGCUGUCCCUAGUACGAGAGGACCGGGACGGACGAACCUCUGGUGUGCCAGUUGUCCUGCCAAGGGCAUGGCUGGUUGGCUACGUUCGGGAGGGAUAACCGCUGAAAGCAUCUAAGCGGGAAGCCUGCUUCGAGAUGAGGACUCCCACCUCCUAGAGAGGGUAAGGCUCCCAGUAGACGACUGGGUUGAUAGGCCGGAUAUGGAAGCACGGUAACGUGUGGAGUUGACCGGUACUAAUAGGCCGAGGGCUUGUCCUC